Molecule: ribosomal RNA, 654 nt
Filed under: uncultured bacterium
Lineage: Bacteria
Description: bacterial SSU rRNA
Rfam family: Bacterial small subunit ribosomal RNA
Source: RNAcentral
AAAAGGCGGCGUAAGCUGUCGCUAAAGGAUGGACCCGCGGUGCAUUAGCUAGUUGGUAAGGUAACGGCUUACCAAGGCGACGAUGCGUAGCCGAGUUGAGAGACUGAUCGGCCACAUUGGGACUGAGACACGGCCCAAACUCCUACGGGAGGCAGCAGUAGGGAAUCUUCCACAAUGGGCGAAAGCCUGAUGGAGCAACGCCGCGUGAGUGAAGAAGGUUUUCGGAUCGUAAAGCUCUGUUGUUGGUGAAGAAGGAUAGAGGUAGUAACUGGCCCCUAUUUGACGGUAAUCAACCAGAAAGUCACGGCUAACUACGUGCCAGCAGCCGCGGUAAUACGUAGGUGGCAAGCGUUGUCCGGAUUUAUUGGGCGUAAAGCGAGCGCAGGCGGAAAGAUAAGUCUGAUGUGAAAGCCCCCGGCUUAACCGAGGAAUUGCAUCGGAAACUGUGUUUCUUGAGUGCAGAAGAGGAGAGUGGAACUCCAUGUGUAGCGGUGGAAUGCGUAGAUAUAUGGAAGAACACCAGUGGCGAAGGCGGCUCUCUGGUCUGUAACUGACGCUGAGGCUCGAAAGCAUGGGUAGCGAACAGGAUUAGAUACCCUGGUAGUCCAUGCCGUAAACGAUGAGUGCUAAGUGUUGGGAGGUUUCCGCCUCUCA